GACGAACGCUGGCGGCGUGCUUAACACAUGCAAGUCGAACGGGUCUGCCCUGUUUUUUGCGGGGUGGGUCAGUGGCGAACGGGUGAGUAACCCGUUAGUAACCUGCCCCUCACUUCUGGAUAACCGCUUGAAAGGGUGGCUAAUACGGGGUGUUCUUGCUGUGCCGCAUGGUUUGGCUGGGAAAGAUUCCCUUUUGUGGUGUUUUGGUUGGGGAUGGGCUCGCGGCCUAUCAGCUUGUUGGUGGUGUGAUGGCCUGCCAAGGCUUUGACGGGUAGCCGGCCUGGGAGGGUGGGCGGUAAGACAGGGACGGAGAAACGGACAAGACUGCUGCGGGAGGCAGCAGGGGGGGGUAUUGAACAAUGGGAGGAAGAAUGAUGCAGCGACGUCGCGUGAGGGAUGGAGGCCUGCGGGUUGUGAACCUCUUUCGCCGGUGAAGAAGGUCCUGCUAUUGGGGGGGGGGUUGACGGUAGCCGGGUUAUGAAGCGCCGGCUAACUACGUG
This 500-nucleotide ribosomal RNA is filed under the name uncultured bacterium. Its description in RNAcentral is "partial 16S ribosomal RNA". It matches the Rfam family "Bacterial small subunit ribosomal RNA", at positions 28 to 507 of the family's 1533-position model. The record is from RNAcentral.